Molecule: ribosomal RNA, 473 nt
Filed under: uncultured bacterium
Lineage: Bacteria
Description: bacterial SSU rRNA
Rfam family: Bacterial small subunit ribosomal RNA
Source: RNAcentral
ACUCCUACGGGAGGCAGCAGUGGGGAAUAUUGCACAAUGGGCGCAAGCCUGAUGCAGCCAUGCCGCGUGUGUGAAGAAGGCCUUCGGGUUGUAAAGCACUUUCAGUCGUGAGGAAGGUGGUAGUGUUAAUAGCACUACCAUUUGACGUUAGCGACAGAAGAAGCACCGGCUAACUCCGUGCCAGCAGCCGCGGUAAUACGGAGGGUGCGAGCGUUAAUCGGAAUUACUGGGCGUAAAGCGCAUGCAGGUGGUUUGUUAAGUCAGAUGUGAAAGCCCGGGGCUCAACCUCGGAAUAGCAUUUGAAACUGGCAGACUAGAGUACUGUAGAGGGGGGUAGAAUUUCAGGUGUAGCGGUGAAAUGCGUAGAGAUCUGAAGGAAUACCGGUGGCGAAGGCGGCCCCCUGGACAGAUACUGACACUCAGAUGCGAAAGCGUGGGGAGCAAACAGGAUUAGAUACCCUGGUAGGAUAGCG